GGCUUAUCGCGAGAGGUGGAGGGAGGGCCCCGAUGAAACCCGGCAACCCCGCUAUUUAGCCGGAAGGUGCCAAGUGCCGCAGGAAACCUCCUGGAAGAUAAGUU
This 104-nucleotide non-coding RNA is filed under the name Neomoorella thermoacetica. RNAcentral's name for it is "Moorella thermoacetica SAM-I sequence". It matches the Rfam family "SAM riboswitch aptamer (S box leader)". Rfam says of the family: The SAM riboswitch is found upstream of a number of genes which code for proteins involved in methionine or cysteine biosynthesis in Gram-positive bacteria. The SAM riboswitch acts at the level of transcription termination control. The predicted structure consists of a complex stem-loop region followed by a single stem loop terminator region. Lineage: Bacteria; Bacillati; Bacillota; Clostridia; Neomoorellales; Neomoorellaceae. RNAcentral also lists the same sequence under 1 other name. The record is from RNAcentral.